RNAcentral lists this ribosomal RNA (449 nucleotides) under uncultured bacterium. RNAcentral describes it as "SSU rRNA". It matches the Rfam family "Bacterial small subunit ribosomal RNA", at positions 26 to 518 of the family's 1533-position model. The record is from RNAcentral.
AGAGCGAACGCUGGCGGCAGGCUUAACACAUGCAAGUCGAGCGGGCGUAGCAAUACGUCAGCGGCAGACGGGUGAGUAACGCGUGGGAACGUACCUUUUGGUUCGGAACAACCCAGGGAAACUUGGGCUAAUACCGGAUAAGCCCUUACGGGGAAAGAUUUAUCGCCGAAAGAUCGGCCCGCGUCUGAUUAGCUAGUUGGUGGGGUAAUGGCCCACCAAGGCGACGAUCAGUAGCUGGUCUGAGAGGAUGAUCAGCCACAUUGGGACUGAGACACGGCCCAAACUCCUACGGGAGGCAGCAGUGGGGAAUAUUGGACAAUGGGCGCAAGCCUGAUCCAGCCAUGCCGCGUGAGUGAUGAAGGCCCUAGGGUUGUAAAGGCUCUUUUGUGCGGGAAGAUAAUGACGGUACCGCAAGAAUAAGCCCCGGCUAACUUCGUGCCAGCAGCCGC